Molecule: ribosomal RNA, 407 nt
Filed under: uncultured bacterium
Lineage: Bacteria
Description: partial 16S ribosomal RNA
Rfam family: Bacterial small subunit ribosomal RNA
Source: RNAcentral
AUUGAACGCUGGCGGCAGGACUAACACAUGCAAGUCGAGCGGAGCGGCGGACGGGUGAGUAAUGCCUAGGAAUCUGCAUGGUAGUGGGGGAUAACGUCCGGAAACGGGGGCUAAUACAGCAUACUAUCAGAUGAGCCUAGGUCGGAUUAGCUAGUGUGUGGGGUAAAGGCCUACCAAGGCGACGAUCCGUAACUGGUCUGAGAGGAUGAUCAGUCACACUGGAACUGAGCCACGGUCCAGACUACUACGGUAGGCAGCAGUGGGGAAUAUUGGACAAUUGGCGAAAGCCUGAUCCAGCCAUGCCGCGUGUGUGAAGAAGUUCUUCGGAUUGUAAAGCACUUUAAGUUGGGAGGCGUUACCAACAGAAUAAGCACCGGCUAACUUCGUGCCAGCAGCCGCGGUAAUUC